RNAcentral lists this long non-coding RNA (377 nucleotides) under Amphimedon queenslandica. RNAcentral's name for it is "uncharacterized LOC109592922, transcript variant X2". Lineage: Eukaryota; Metazoa; Porifera; Demospongiae; Haplosclerida; Niphatidae. The record is from RNAcentral.
AUUGUCAUGGCACUAGCUAGAGGUUCAACCAGGUUAGAUUCCUAGCUGCCACUUUGUUUUGGCACUAGAGGUUCAACCAUGCAGAGUUAAUUCCAUUGAGUCUCUACUACAGGAAAAGAAAACUUGCGCAUCAAUGACAGACCAGGCUGACUUCAAUAUGGCAACAAUCAACCUAUAAAUAAGGUUGUGGAAUGGGUGGUAGCGGUGGGGGGCCAGCUACGCAGCAUCACCUAUUCGCGACGGUGCUGGCUAUCAUCCCAGCUCAAAUCAAUUGGGGAUGCAAGAAUGCUGCUUUCAUUACUAAUCAUUUUCAUUGAUUGAAUUUUAUUAAUUUCUACUUCAUUUUCAAUGUCAAAACAGAUACUUUUUAGCAUUUA